Molecule: ribosomal RNA, 601 nt
Filed under: uncultured Actinomycetes bacterium
Lineage: Bacteria; Bacillati; Actinomycetota; Actinomycetes
Description: bacterial SSU rRNA
Rfam family: Bacterial small subunit ribosomal RNA
Source: RNAcentral
GAGGAGCGAAAGCCGUGGGGAGCGAACAGGAUUAGAUACCCUGGUAGUCCCCGCCGUAAACCGUUGGGCGCUAGGUGUGGGACUCAUUUCCACGAGUUCCCGUGCCGCAGCUAACGCACUAAGCCGCCCCGCCUGGGGAGUACGGCCGCAAGGCUAAAACUCCAAAGGAAUUGACGGGGGCCCGCACAAGCGGCGGAGCAUGCGGAUUAAUUCGAUGCGACGCGAAGAACCUUACCUGGGUUUGACAUAUAGAGAAAACUGUCAGAGAUGGCAGGUCCGUAAGGGCUCUAUACAGGUGGUGCAUGGCUGUCGUCAGCUCGUGUCGUGAGAUGUUGGGUUAAGUCCCGCAACGAGCGCAACCCUCGUCCUAUGUUGCCAGCACAUAAUGGUGGGGACUCAUAGGAGACUGCCGGGGUCAACUCGGAGGAAGGUGGGGAUGAGGUCAAGUCAUCAUGCCCCUUAUGUCCAGGGCUUCACGCAUGCUACAAUGGCCGGUACAAAGGGCUGCGAAACUGCAAAGUAGGGCGAAUCCCAAAAAGCCGGUCUCAGUUCGGAUUGGGGUCUGCAACUCGACCCCAUGAAGUCGGAGUCGCUAGUAAUC